UGAGGCAGGAGAAUCGCUUGAACCCAGGAGGUGGAGGUUGCAGUGAACUGAGAUUGUGCCAUUGCACUCCAGCCUGGGUGACAGAGCGAGACUCCAUCUCA
This 101-nucleotide microRNA precursor is filed under the name Chlorocebus sabaeus (green monkey). RNAcentral describes it as "miRNA (ENSCSAG00000025171.1)". Lineage: Eukaryota; Metazoa; Chordata; Mammalia; Primates; Cercopithecidae. The record is from RNAcentral.